This 434-nucleotide unclassified non-coding RNA is filed under the name Hevea brasiliensis (rubber tree). Lineage: Eukaryota; Viridiplantae; Streptophyta; Magnoliopsida; Malpighiales; Euphorbiaceae. The record is from RNAcentral.
GCUCCCAUUCCAAUUUUAAGAUCGUCUGAGAAUGAUGAGGUUGCAGACACAAUCUCUUCCCAUGUGAAUUUCUGGUAUUGCUGCACUGGACCCACAAGAGCAUUCUGAAGCUUCUCUUUUUCUUUGGCAUCACGCAUGGCUUUAAGCUCAGCUUCUUGCCUUCGUGAAGCUUCUCUCUCAGCACAUGUCCUCGUGUAUUCAGCUUCCCUUAGUGCAGCUUUACUCCUUUCCUUCUCCUGUCUUGCUAAUUCUUUAGCCUUCUCCUCUCUAAAGUUUAUUUCCUUGAGCUUUAUUGCUUCUUCCAAACGACGUGUACUAAGAUCAUUCAACUUCCGAGAAGCAUCAAUAGCCUCACUUUGAGCCAUGGCAUAUAUUCCUCGAACGUGUCUAAGUUCAAUCCUCAGCUUUUCUAGCUCAAAGUUAAUAACUGCCUG